AUUGAACGCUGGCGGCAGGCCUAACACAUGCAAGUCGAACGAGUGGCGGACGGGUGAGUACUUUCUGGGAAACUGCCCGAUGGAGGGGGAUAACUACUGUAACCGGUAUCUAAUACUGCAUAACAUCCGCUGUGACCAUAUGGGAUUAGCUAGUCGGUGGGGUAAUGGCUCACCUAGGCGACGAGCCCUAGCUGGUCUGAGAGGAUUACCAGCCACACUGGAACUGAGACACGGUCCAGACUCCUACGGGAGGCAGCAGUGGGGAAUAUUGCACAAUGGGCGCAAGCCUGAUGCAGCCAUGCCGCGUGUAUGAAGAAGGCCUUCGGGUUGUAAAGUACUUUCAGCGAGGAGGCGUUACUCGCAGAAGAAGCACCGGCUAACUCCGUGCCAGCAGUCGCGGUAAUUC
This 406-nucleotide ribosomal RNA is filed under the name uncultured bacterium. RNAcentral describes it as "partial 16S ribosomal RNA". It matches the Rfam family "Bacterial small subunit ribosomal RNA", at positions 30 to 526 of the family's 1533-position model. The record is from RNAcentral.